GACGAACGCUGGCGGCGUGCCUAAUACAUGCAAGUCGAGCGGACCGAACAGGAGCUUGCCUUUGUUCGGUUGGCGGCGGACGGGUGAGUAACACGUGGGUAACCGGCCCGUAGGACCGGGAUAACUCCGGGAAACCGGAGCUAAUACCGGAUAACACCGAAGACCGCAUGGUCUUUGGUUGAAAGGCGGCUCCGGCUGCCACUUACGGAUGGGCCCGCGGCGCAUUAGCUAGUUGGGGAGGUAACGGCUCACCAAGGCGACGAUGCGUAGCCGGCCUGAAAGGGGGACCGGCCACACUGGGACUGAGACACGGCCCAGACUCCUACGGGAGGCAGCAGUAGGGAAUCUUCCGCAAUGGACGAAAGUCUGACGGAGCGACGCCGCGGGAGCGAAGAAGGUCUUCGGAUCGUAAAGCUCUGUUGUUAGGGAAGAAGAAGCGUCGUUCGAACAGGGCGGCGCGGUGACGGUACCUAACGAGAAAGCCCCGGCUAACUACGUG
RNAcentral lists this ribosomal RNA (499 nucleotides) under uncultured bacterium. RNAcentral's name for it is "partial 16S ribosomal RNA". It matches the Rfam family "Bacterial small subunit ribosomal RNA", at positions 28 to 507 of the family's 1533-position model. The record is from RNAcentral.